This 2240-nucleotide ribosomal RNA is filed under the name Listeria monocytogenes. Its description in RNAcentral is "partial 23S ribosomal RNA". It matches the Rfam family "Bacterial large subunit ribosomal RNA", at positions 691 to 2925 of the family's 2925-position model. The record is from RNAcentral. Lineage: Bacteria; Bacillati; Bacillota; Bacilli; Caryophanales; Listeriaceae.
GGCGCAUAAGUAACAGGUCGUAGACCCGAAACCAGGUGAUCUACCCAUGUCCAGGAUGAAGGUAAGGUAAUACUUACUGGAGGUCCGAACCCACGCACGUUGAAAAGUGCGGGGAUGAGGUGUGGGUAGCGGAGAAAUUCCAAUCGAACUUGGAGAUAGCUGGUUCUCUCCGAAAUAGCUUUAGGGCUAGCCUCGAGGUAAAGAGUCAUGGAGGUAGAGCACUGUUUGGACUAGGGGCCCUUCUCGGGUUACCGAAUUCAGAUAAACUCCGAAUGCCAUGUACUUAUACUCGGGAGUCAGACUGCGAGUGAUAAGAUCCGUAGUCGAAAGGGAAACAGCCCAGACCACCAGUUAAGGUCCCCAAAUAUAUGUUAAGUGGAAAAGGAUGUGGGGUUGCUUAGACAACCAGGAUGUUGGCUUAGAAGCAGCCACCAUUGAAAGAGUGCGUAAUAGCUCACUGGUCGAGUGACCCCGCGCCGAAAAUGUACCGGGGCUAAACAUAUUACCGAAACUGUGGAUGAACCUCUUUAGAGGUUCGUGGUAGGAGAGCGUUCUAAGGGCGGUGAAGUCAGACCGGAAGGACUGGUGGAGCGCUUAGAAGUGAGAAUGCCGGUAUGAGUAGCGAAAGAAGGGUGAGAAUCCCUUCCACCGAAUAUCUAAGGUUUCCUGAGGAAGGCUCGUCCGCUCAGGGUUAGUCGGGACCUAAGCCGAGGCCGAUAGGCGUAGGCGAUGGACAACAGGUAGAGAUUCCUGUACCAGUGCUAAUUGUUUAACCGAUGGGGUGACACAGAAGGAUAGGGAAUCGCACGAAUGGAAAUGUGCGUCCAAGCAGUGAGUGUGAGAAGUAGGCAAAUCCGCUUCUCGCGAAGCAUGAGCUGUGAUGGGGAAGGAAAUUAAGUACGGAAGUUCCUGAUUUCACGCUGUCAAGAAAAGCCUCUAGGAAGAGUAGUACUGCCCGUACCGCAAACCGACACAGGUAGAUGAGGAGAGAAUCCUAAGGUGAGCGAGAGAACUCUCGUUAAGGAACUCGGCAAAAUGACCCCGUAACUUCGGGAGAAGGGGUGCUCUAUUAGGGUGCAAGCCCGAGAGAGCCGCAGUGAAUAGGCCCAGGCGACUGUUUAGCAAAAACACAGGUCUCUGCAAAACCGUAAGGUGACGUAUAGGGGCUGACGCCUGCCCGGUGCUGGAAGGUUAAGAGGAGUGCUUAGCUUCGGCGAAGGUACGAAUUGAAGCCCCAGUAAACGGCGGCCGUAACUAUAACGGUCCUAAGGUAGCGAAAUUCCUUGUCGGGUAAGUUCCGACCCGCACGAAAGGCGCAACGAUCUGGGCACUGUCUCAACGAGAGACUCGGUGAAAUUAUAGUACCUGUGAAGAUGCAGGUUACCCGCGACAGGACGGAAAGACCCCGUGGAGCUUUACUGCAACCUGAUAUGGAAUGUUUGUACCGCUUGUACAGGAUAGGUAGGAGCCGAAGAGACGUGUGCGCUAGCAUACGAGGAGGCAAUGGUGGGAUACUACCCUGGCUGUAUGACCAUUCUAACCCGCCACGCUUAGCGCGUGGGGAGACAGUGUCAGGUGGGCAGUUUGACUGGGGCGGUCGCCUCCUAAAGAGUAACGGAGGCGCCCAAAGGUUCCCUCAGAAUGGAUGGAAAUCAUUCGCAGAGUGUAAAGGCACAAGGGAGCUUGACUGCGAGACUGACAAGUCGAGCAGGGACGAAAGUCGGGCUUAGUGAUCCGGUGGUUCCGCAUGGAAGGGCCAUCGCUCAACGGAUAAAAGCUACCCCGGGGAUAACAGGCUUAUCUCCCCCAAGAGUCCACAUCGACGGGGAGGUUUGGCACCUCGAUGUCGGCUCGUCGCAUCCUGGGGCUGUAGUCGGUCCCAAGGGUUGGGCUGUUCGCCCAUUAAAGCGGCACGCGAGCUGGGUUCAGAACGUCGUGAGACAGUUCGGUCCCUAUCCGUCGCGGGCGCAGGAAAUUUGAGAGGAGCUGUCCUUAGUACGAGAGGACCGGGAUGGACACACCGCUGGUGUACCAGUUGUUCCGCCAGGAGCAUCGCUGGGUAGCUAUGUGUGGCAGGGAUAAACGCUGAAAGCAUCUAAGCGUGAAGCCCCCCUCAAGAUGAGAUUUCCCAUUUCUUCGGAAAGUAAGAUCCCUGAAAGAUGAUCAGGUAGAUAGGUUUGGAGUGGAAGUGUAGCGAUACAUGGAGCGGACAAAUACUAAUCGAUCGAGGACUUAACCAA